RNAcentral lists this ribosomal RNA (277 nucleotides) under uncultured prokaryote. RNAcentral describes it as "partial 16S ribosomal RNA". It matches the Rfam family "Bacterial small subunit ribosomal RNA", at positions 524 to 800 of the family's 1533-position model. The record is from RNAcentral.
UACGUAGGGGUCGAGCGUUGUCCGGAGUUACUGGGCGUAAAGCGCAUGCAGGCGGCUCAUUACGCAUGGCGUGAAAGCCCCCGGCUCAACCGGGGAGGGUCGUCGUGAACGGGUGAGCUUGAGGGUAUCAGGGGCUGGUGGAAUUCCCGGUGUAGUGGUGAAAUGCGUAGAGAUCCGGAGGAACACCAGUGGCGAAGGCGACACGCUGGGCCUGACCUGACGCUGAGAGGCGAAAGCAUGGGGAGCGAACGGGAUUAGAUACCCCGGUAGUCCCUGA